This 99-nucleotide signal recognition particle RNA is filed under the name Oscillospiraceae bacterium. RNAcentral's name for it is "signal recognition particle sRNA small type". It matches the Rfam family "Bacterial small signal recognition particle RNA". Rfam says of the family: The signal recognition particle (SRP) is a universally conserved ribonucleoprotein involved in the co-translational targeting of proteins to membranes. Archaeal SRP consists of a 7S RNA and homologues of the eukaryotic SRP19 and SRP54 proteins. In most bacteria, the SRP consists of a 4.5S RNA and the Ffh protein (a homologue of the eukaryotic SRP54 protein). The record is from RNAcentral. Lineage: Bacteria; Bacillati; Bacillota; Clostridia; Eubacteriales; Oscillospiraceae.
ACCGCCGGAGCGAAUGACGGUAUGGCGCGAAUCAUGUCAGGCGAGAAAUCGAGCAGCAUUAAGUGUAUGUUAUCGGGUGUUUUGGUUUCUGACGGUGCG